GGGGAUUGAACCCAGGGCCUCACACAUACUAGGCAAGUGCUCUGCCACUGAGCUACAAUCCCAGCCUCAAAAUCCAGUCUUUUUGAUGAUUUGGAGAGUUUAUAAUCGAGUAGUUUCAAAGACAUUGAGCCAACAUGAUUUGUCCUAAUGGGUUCUGAUGAUUGUCUCUCCAGGUGAGGCAUGGGGAUGGGGAGGAGAGGUUUUUCUAGGAUGUUGUUAAACAGGAAGACAGCUUAUAGCAAAUAUUUGUUCCUUUUGGUUUUCAGUGCUGUGGUAGAGCUUAUUUCUUUUUUUUUUUUAGCAGGCAGAUAGAAGUUCCUGUCACUUUCUCUUCCUUUAUGGAGUAGGAUGUGAUGUUCCUGUUAGUGGAAAUACCACUCAAAUGUCCAUGGAUCAUGAAGAAUUGCUCCGUACCUAUACUCCUGGAGCAUCUCUGCGGAAGGGAAAAGGAAACUCUUCUAUGGAUGGUGCAGCAGGGUGCAGUGGACCCCCGCCAAUAUGCCGACAAGCCCAGACCAAGCUAGAAGUGGCCUUGUACAUGUUUCUGUGGAGUCCUGACACUGAAGCUGUUCUGGUUGCCAUGUCCUGUUUCCGCCACCUCUGUGAGGAAGCAGAUAUCCGUUGUGGGGUGGAUGAAGUAUCAGUGCACAACUUCUUGCCAAACUAUAAUACAUUCAUGGAGUUUGCUUCUGUCAGCAAUAUGAUGUCAACAGGAAGAGCAGCACUUCAGAAAAGAGUGAUGGCAUUGCUAAGGCGCAUUGAGCAUCCCACUGCAGGAAACACUGAGGCUUGGGAAGAUACACAUGCAAAAUGGGAACAAGCUACAAAACUAAUCCUUAACUAUCCAAAAGCAAAAAUGGAAGAUGGUCAGGCUGCUGAAAGCCUUCAUAAGACCAUUGUUAAGAGACGAAUGUCCCAUGUGAGUGGAGGAGGAUCCAUAGAUUUAUCUGAUACAGACUCCCUACAGGAAUGGAUCAACAUGACUGGCUUCCUUUGUGCUCUUGGGGGAGUGUGUCUGCAGCAGAGAAGCAAUUCUGGCCUGGCAACCUAUAGCCCACCCAUGGGCCCAGUCAGUGAACGUAAAGGUUCCAUGAUUUCAGUGAUGUCUUCAGAGGGAAACACAGAUACACCUGUCAGCAAAUUUAUGGAUCGGCUGCUAUCCUUAAUGGUGUGUAAUCAUGAGAAAGUGGGACUUCAGAUACGGACCAAUGUUAAAGAUCUAGUGGGUUUGGAAUUGAGUCCUGCUCUUUAUCCAAUGCUAUUUAACAAAUUGAAGAAUACCAUCAGCAAGUUUUUUGACUCCCAAGGACAGGUUUUAUUGACUGAUACCAAUACUCAAUUUGUAGAGCAAACUAUAGCUAUAAUGAAGAAUUUACUAGAUAAUCAUACUGAAGGUAGCUCUGAACAUUUGGGACAAGCUAGCAUUGAAACAAUGAUGUUAAAUCUAGUCAGGUAUGUUCGUGUGCUUGGGAAUAUGGUCCACGCAAUUCAAAUAAAAACGAAACUGUGUCAGUUAGUUGAAGUAAUGAUGGCAAGGAGAGAUGACCUCUCAUUUUGUCAAGAGAUGAAAUUUAGGAAUAAGAUGGUAGAAUACCUGACAGACUGGGUUAUGGGAACAUCAAACCAAGCAGCAGAUGAUGAUGUAAAAUGUCUUACAAGGUACAGAAAAAAAAAAAAAAAGAUAAAAUGACUAGGUAUUUACAGGAUUUA
RNAcentral lists this long non-coding RNA (1710 nucleotides) under Ictidomys tridecemlineatus (thirteen-lined ground squirrel). Its description in RNAcentral is "lncRNA (ENSSTOG00000032884.1)". Lineage: Eukaryota; Metazoa; Chordata; Mammalia; Rodentia; Sciuridae. The record is from RNAcentral.